GAAUCGUGUAGAUCCGAUGAGAAAAGUUUGGGGGUGGUGUGUUAUGAUCACUACUGGCUGUAAGCGAACAAGUGAUGCGCGUUUGGAGCAAUACUGGCUGUAUUCAAGGCUCAGCCAAUCUUUCACAUAACAACAGAAUGCAGCACGCGACUGAAGAGAGGAGACAACCAAUUGGCUCUAUUCUAUGCACUAUACCGCCUCCAACGUUCUAAUUUACUUCCUACCGGGUUGAUGACUUCCGGAGCGAUUUCUGCUAUUGUUUUUAUCAUUAGCUUGCUAGCUAUCUAACUGUUGUCGAUGCAUUUCUGACUGAAAUAGUUCGCAAUGACGUUUAAAUUACAGCCCCGCGAAUGAGGUGCUAAUGAACAUUGUUCAGUUUCUUCCAAAUGUAAUGGUAUUGUGAGCUUCCAUGGUUUCCCGGUCGAUGAAGAGCUCAGAGAAAAAGGUGGUUGGUGGCAGUACGUCGUGACAACUUUACUGUCACCUAACACACAAAAGUGUGUAGUACACAUUUCAUCGAGAGUGACUUUGUUGAGGGAAAAAUUGGGGGGGGGGGCGAUAAUACCUAAAAAGAGGCUUUGUUCUUACAGUCUUCGCGUGGAACUGGCACAUUCAAAAGAGACCAGGUGUUUGGGAAAGAAGACUGAAACCUUCUGCUCCGACUGAGGAGGAUGAAGAACAAGGUGCGCUGCCUAUGGACUGUGCCGUCUCUGAUCAGGACCAGACACAUGAUUACUGUGCAGUCCCUGAACCCGCAGCCCUUGACAUGGCCCUAAUGGCAAACCAUGAGCAUGUAAAAUAAAUUAAGGAGCUUCGAGCCAAGCUGGAGAAACUGACCGCUCAAAACGGCUUUGGUCUACAGCGAUUUGCUGGUUCUGACGAGGAUAUACAUUUUUACACAAKAUUUGCAAUCUACACCCACCUGAUGGCCUUCUGGCACUUGAUUGAGCGGGCAGCAGAAACCAAGUUUAUAAGUCACACAAGCACCAAUCCAUCUGAAACAAGUGUUACUCGAAGAAAACUGUUCAGACACUGCCAUCAAUCGACGAGUUCUUCUUGUUUAUGACUCAUCUGUCGCUGGGUCUGAAGCAGAAGGAUUUGGCCCAUCGGUUCAGCAUCCACCAAUCGACAGUGAGACGGAUUAUCAUCUCUUGGGCCAACGUCCUCUACUGUCUGUUUGGAUCAGCACGGAUAUGGAUCCCCAAGGAAACCAUCAAAGCCCACCUGCCACCUGAGUUCAAGGACUAUCCAGACACCCAGGUAGUGAUCGACUGCACUAAACUCCGCUGCCACACCAUCUUCACUACUACUGCAGAGUGAGGUGUUUUCUUCCUACAAGUCACACUGUACCUUUAAGGGCAUGUUGGGUAUGUUACCACAUGGAGCUGUCACUUUUGUGUCAUCGUUGUAUGCUAGAUCUGUGAGUGACAAGGAGAUCUUCAAGCAGUCUGGAAUUAUUKCCUUACUCACCCGACAUGGCCAUUAUGGUGGAUAAGGGCUUUCUCGUAGAUGACAUUGUUCCAUGCAAGGUCUACCGGCCAGCCUUUCUGUCAAGACGCACACAGAUGCCAGYGCAUGAGGUUAGGGAGACCCAAUCCAUUGCCAGGCUGAGAGUGCAUGUUGAAUGAAUGAUCUGCAGAGUAAAGGAGCACAAGCUGUUUGACACAGUCAACCCCUGACCAUCUCAGGCAGCAUCAACCAAUUAUUUGCAGUGGCGUGUAGUGAAUAUCAAUUUGUGUGGAGCUUGUAUUGGGUUUAAUUAGGCAAUGAGUUUAGGGGUGGGGGAAAGAAAUCAASUAAACACAGAAUAGCCAGAAUGCAAGAUUGAAUACAAUGUAAGAGAUGUGUAAUUGAUUAACUGAACUGUUGAACAUUUGCUGAAAUAUUUUUUUUUUUAAACAAAUCUAUUCUGCUGUAGUUUUCUUCACAAGAACAUCAAUACUUAUUUUUCAUGAAACAACUAAACUUGGCACCCAUGCUGGGGAUUCAUUCAGGUGCAAGAGACACUUCUGCAAGUAGUGGUAAAAAUAAAAGUGGUCAACCUUC
Salvelinus sp. IW2-2015 is the source of this 2046-nucleotide long non-coding RNA. RefSeq lists it as uncharacterized. The record is from RefSeq and is a predicted model, not a curated record. NCBI's taxonomy places the organism in Eukaryota, Metazoa, Chordata, Actinopteri, Salmoniformes, Salmonidae.